CUUAAAUGCAAACAGAUAAUAAAUAAACAAAUUAUAAAAAUACAGAUAAGAUCAGAUAUUUAAAUCGUUAGAUUCGGCCUUGCCUCAUCGCCUAUUAUGAUAAAUGUAUCUAGAGUGAUCUGAGCAGUCAAACUUGAGAUUGAAAAUAACGAAAUAGGCAGGAGAGAAAGAGCUAACCAGAUAAUCUUCUGUUCCACUUAAAACAGUGUUAUAUUUUUUUAUGUCAGGACAGAAUCUAACAAUUUAAAUCACUGGGUAAUAUAAAAGCGCUAUGCGAUGCUAAAAGCUGGAUGAAAAUUAUUUUCUAAAGCAUAUCCAAUAAGAUAAAAUAGACUAUUCCCAAAUAGAUCACUGUGUAUUUCAAUUCAACGUAAAUUACAACGUAAUGAAGAGACAUUUAAAUAUACCACAUUUGACAGUUGUUUAAGCAUAAUAAAUAAAAUUCAUGGUACCUAAGAAAAAGUUUCAGCAGACAUAAACUUGUACGUAUUGCAGUUCAGUUUCGUAAAAAUAUAAGAUGAUAGUGAUAUUAACUUGAAAUAAAACGUUUAAAAAUACAAAUUUUGAUAUAAAAGAAAACUUUCUAAGGUAUUCCUUGUACAAGACGUGUCAAUGUUCAAUGAAUUAUACGAACGGCCGUACAAAGGUCAGUACAUAGCUAUAUGAAAUGUCAAAAGUGGCCUAUUAAAAUGACUUCAUUAUAGUUUUAUAAAAAAGAGAAGAAAGCAUAAAACAAAUUCAUACAAUCAGAACUGAAGAAAACAUAACAAACGCAUAAACGGCCACAUUAUUUUUUAAUGUUGUAAAAAAGAAACAUUGAACAGUGCAUCUGAUUUUGUAGUUAUUGAUAACAAGAUAAUAAUAACUGAAUAACACAUUUUGACACACUUUUACUGAUAAUAAAUUAUUGUACAAUAAUUUAUGUAUGAUCAAGUUAUAUAUAUUUCGCAUGAAGACAAGAGAGCUUUGAGGGAAGUUAAAUAAUAAUUCACUGCAAUUCAUACUAGAUUGCUAACAAUCGGAUCUUGGUACAGAAUCUGGAAUGUCACACAAAUAUUAAAAUACUGAUUUGUUAAACAACAAACUUAAAUAAAUAAACUCGCUCUCGGAGGAUUGUUGUAAUUUGAACCGUUGUCGUUAGUAUAAUCUACCAUAAAACCACCAUGCCACCAAAUAACCUUUUACACCAUAGUUCAAUUUGCAACAUUCCCCUUAUAAAUUAAUUAACCGAGCUACCGAUUUUAAACCAUAUGAUGCCGCUGACAAAAUAUAUUGCACCCAUAGAAUUUUUCCCUUAAACGUUCGGUGCCUCAACUAAUUUACUUGACUAUUACGCGAAAUUAUUUGCAAUAUGUAUCAUAAUUAUAGGACAGCGUUCCUUAAGCUUCCGCCAAUGGAACAUGGAAAUCUCGCCAUAAAAACUUGAACAUGGAUUUAACUAAUUUUAAACAAUUUGAUGGGCUAAAUAGGUUCUAAAUUUGUUUAAACAAGUUUAAGUUCUAUAUUUAUCAAAAUUCAUUUCUAUUGAUAAAUAACAUGAAUUGUAUCUCUUCUGAAUUAAAGAACUUAAAAUCAGGAACAUUUCAGAAAUAACACAAUCCAAAAAUACAGUGUCAAAUAAAAGCCAACUCUUUUGGAUGGGUUUAAAAGUUUGAAAAUGUCACAAAAACGUGUUAGCCAUACAUAAUGUCUUAGGAUAAGCUUCCAGACAUAAUAACUCGAUUACCUGCCUAAAUAAGUUAAAGGAACGCUGUUAAAUUAUAUAUCUAUCGUAAUAUAAUACACAACAGCCAAACAGCGCCUGUCCUAGACAGGCAUUCACUUAAAAAUAGUUAUUUAUAUAUUAAACAGCGAAUUAUUUUAAAAGUCGGACCUAAAAAUGCCAUGAAUAAUGAAUAUAUCCCACAAAUCUCGUUGCUAUAAGUAUUUGUCCAAAAAUUUUAUCUCGAAAUUACUUUUUGUUAGGUAACGACGACACUACCUUUAACCACUGACUACAUCGACUUAUUAUUUUAUUUAAAUACCUAUAUACCACAUUUCAAUGAAAUUAUUUUGCUAAUGGUUGUUUAUGCCCUCGCUCCAACCGAGAUCGCUGUGAAGAUAAUACGAGUAUAAUAGACUUAAUUCAGACUAUGCUGACACGAACCGAUUUGUUAUUAGCGGAGUUUAUAAAGGCACGAUCUCAUAAAUGAACUUUGAAUGGAUGACCUUAUUUGAUUAAACAAAAGUCGAAUAUGGUUUGAAUCAGUUUUGGUUCACAAAUAUUGAAGAAAAUAAUUUGCCUUAGAUUGAAUCCAACUUUCGUUAAUCGAACAAAUCAGUCACUCAAACUUGACUCGUGUGAACGCGCCCUAAAUGUAUAAAAAAUCCGCAACAUAUUUAUUCGUACUUAUUGUAGGUACUUCUGUGCGUAAAAGAAAUCACAGGGAUGUUGAUACUUACCCAUAUUCUAUAAUAGCACUGUUUUUUUUCGUUU
This is a long non-coding RNA of Maniola jurtina (meadow brown), 2476 nucleotides long. RefSeq lists it as uncharacterized. The transcript is spliced from 2 exons. Lineage: Eukaryota; Metazoa; Arthropoda; Insecta; Lepidoptera; Nymphalidae. The record is from RefSeq and is a predicted model, not a curated record.